CAUUCACGGAGAGUUUGAUCCUGGCUCAGGACGAACGCUGGCGGCGUGCUUAACACAUGCAAGUCGAACGAUGAAGCCCUUCGGGGUGAAUUAGUGGCGAACGGGUGAGUAACACGUGGGCAAUCUGCCCUUCACUCUGGGACAAGCCCUGGAAACGGGGUCUAAUACCGGAUAACACUCCCGCACUCCUGUG
Molecule: ribosomal RNA, 193 nt
Filed under: Streptomyces sp. SID14478
Lineage: Bacteria; Bacillati; Actinomycetota; Actinomycetes; Kitasatosporales; Streptomycetaceae
Description: partial 16S ribosomal RNA
Rfam family: Bacterial small subunit ribosomal RNA
Source: RNAcentral